This is a long non-coding RNA of Panicum virgatum (switchgrass), 1878 nucleotides long. RefSeq lists it as uncharacterized. The record is from RefSeq and is a predicted model, not a curated record. NCBI's taxonomy places the organism in Eukaryota, Viridiplantae, Streptophyta, Magnoliopsida, Poales, Poaceae. The transcript has 5 exons.
GUCAUCUCGAAGCCCGUCCGAGGUGAGGGCGCCAUACAUUUGGCUUCUUUGCUUCGCCGUCAGGUCCCCAUAAAAGUCUAGAUGCUGCUGCAACUGCAGCUAUCAAUUGUGAUCACCCGAUGCAGAUGGUUGGGAUCAAUAACUUGGUGGCUUAACAGGAACGUCUCUCGUCUGCAAGUGGACGACGGUGACAAAAUUGCUCAAGGGUGGGGCUACGUUUUCAUGUGGAUCUGCUUACUCCGGUUGUCAUUUUUUCUGUUGAUGCAACUUGCAAGUGUGGGCCUUCAGGUCAAGAAUUACUGCUCCUGUUCCUUGUCCGUGCACGAGAAUGGUUUGGCGGUGACUGCCGAUCUCUGCUGCCCACACAGAAUUUUUAUCAGCUUAACUUUUUCUGGAACAAAGAAUUUUUUUUAUUAAUCAGAUGAAGGUACAUGAAAGGGCCGUUUAAGUCUUCUGUCAGAAUCAGCUGUCUCUGAAGAUGACCCGACACUGUUCAUCAACAUUUUUUGUGGUAUAUGGGCUACCUGAGCAAAGAUGGUGACAAUGUUAGUAUAUUAUGAGGGCUAGAGCCAAGAACCAGCAUCAGUUUUCUGAAUAUGAGGUGUCUCAUUCCAUCACAACAUUGGCAAUUGCACUCAGGAGUUACUGUACAUACUACAGAGUGCCAUGGCAUACUGCUAAACAAAUUCUCCUACAAGGUUGGGGGCCAGUGAGCAUCAAGUGGAUUGCAGCCAACAUGGAUGCCACUUAUUGCCACAGGAAUUAAAGCAGGAUUUCCUGACAUGUUUUGCGAUGAUCCUGAAUGCUUUACCAUGGUUUUUGCAAGUCCCUGGAGCUGAAUCGACCCCACAAAUGCUUUACAAGAUAAAGUUCAGGCUUUGCUGCGAAAGCUAUGUGGUGCAUUAUACAGUAUAGCAACUGCAAUCCUAAUCCUCUGAUCCGCAGCCAAGAACAGAACAAACAACCUGUCCUCAUGGAUUCCUCUUCUCACUCUGCUGAUAGUACAACAUAGCUUAUGGAUAUAUAUACAGACGGACGGACGGAAUGUAGCUGGCGCCAAUCAUGAGUCAUCAAAAAGGUCAUUCAUCUGAUCUGUCUGAGGCAUGCAUAGAACAAGAUUUGCUUCGCACAUGGAAACCAAUCCAACAAGCAGGUCCAGAUCGGCUGUUGCUGCUGGGGUGUUGCCACAUGUUAAUUACCAAGGAAAUGAGGAGGUUUGGUUUGGUUGGUGGACCCGUGCCAUGGCGUAAGCUCGUGGACCACAUGAACCACCACCCAAUGAGGCAAUGACCCAAGCAAAGGAGAGGAGGAAGAGGAGAGGGAUGGGCCCCACCACUAAUUGUUUUGGGGUUCUCUCAUUGGGGCGUUGAUGUCACACGUGAUAAAUGUUAGAUAAUUACCCAUGCUCUAGCUUGUCUAGAUUCUACACUGGUAGGGGCUCUUGCUCCUGCUCAGUCAAGGCUGCAUAUUCAAUGUCGGUCGGCAAACACUAUUGUGUAUAGUAGCAGCUGCAGUUGACAGCAUAGUACCAGUAGUGACUAGUAUUAGCAGCAGUAGCUAGUAGUGGUAGAGACUGCAUAACACUAUAGCGCCUUACCUUGCAAAUGCUCACUUUGACCGGUGUGUCUAUAAAGAGGAGAGUAGCUGCAGCUCAGAGUCUUAAGCAGCUCCACUUCGUGUGCUCUUUCUGAGUCCUUCCUCUCAUCUUCUUCCUCCACCUGCAAGCAAGAGGGUGUUGUGUGUGUGUGUGAAGGAGUGCCAACAAGUGGUAUUGAGAGCUUGAGUGUUCGAGCUUGGUGGCCAUGGCUUCCUUGGAUCGUGAGCAUGAGCGCGGGCGUUCUCAAGAGCGUGGCCGUGGGCGCCAGACGACGUACGUCG